GACGAACGCUGGCGGCGUGCUUAACACAUGCAAGUCGAACGGAAAGGCCCUGCUUUUGUGGGGUGCUCGAGUGGCGAACGGGUGAGUAACACGUGAGUAACCUGCCCUUGACUUUGGUAUAACUUCAGGAAACUGGGGCUAAUACCGGAUAGGAGCUCCUGCUGCAUGGUGGGGGUUGGAAAGUUUCGGCGGUUGGGGAUGGACUCGCGGCUUAUCUGCUUGUUGGUGGGGUAGUGGCUUACCAAGGCGUUGACGGGUAGCCGGCCUGAGAGGGUGACCGGCCACAUUGGGACUGAGAUACGGCCCAGACUCCUACGGGAGGCAGAAGGGGGGAAUAUUGCACAAUGGGCGGAAGCCGGAGGCAGCAACGCCGCGUGCGGGAUGACGGCCUUCGGGUGGUAAACCGCUUUCGCCUGUGACGAAGCGUGAGUGACGGUAAUGGGUAAAGAAGCACCGGCUAACUACGUG
RNAcentral lists this ribosomal RNA (468 nucleotides) under uncultured bacterium. RNAcentral's name for it is "partial 16S ribosomal RNA". It matches the Rfam family "Bacterial small subunit ribosomal RNA", at positions 28 to 507 of the family's 1533-position model. The record is from RNAcentral.